Molecule: ribosomal RNA, 1424 nt
Filed under: human gut metagenome
Description: bacterial LSU rRNA
Rfam family: Bacterial large subunit ribosomal RNA
Source: RNAcentral
UGGCUUAGAAGCAGCCAUCCUUUAAAGAGUGCGUAAUAGCUCACUAGUCGAGUGAUUCUGCGCCGAAAAUGUAUCGGGGCUAAGCAUAAUACCGAAGCUGCGGGAUUAGACAAAGAGUCUAAUCGGUAGGGGAGCGUACUAAACGCGAAGAAGGUUGACCGGAAGGGCAGCUGGAGAGUUUAGCAGUGAGAAUGCCGGUGUGAGUAGCGAUAAGAUGGGUGAGAAUCCCAUCCGUCGGAAGCCUAAGGGUUCCAGGGGUAAGGCUCGUCCGCCCUGGGUAAGUCGGGACCUAAGGUGAGGCCGAAAGGCGUAGCCGAUGGAUAUCAGGUUGAUAAUCCUGGACCACCGUAGAGCUGAAGGAGUGACGGAGGAGGGAAGUUAGGAUGGACUGGUGGAAUAGUCUAAUGAAGCACAAAGAGGGAUACGUAGGAAAAGCCGCGUAUUGAAACCUUGAAGUGUAAACCGCAAGGCCUAAUGGACCACACUUCCAAGAAAAGCUUCUAGGAGUACUUUAUGGUGCCCGUACCGUAAACGGACACACGUAGGCGAGGAGAGAAUCCAAAGACGCGCGAGAUAAUUCUUGUUAAGGAACUCUGCAAAAUGACCCUGUAACUUCGGGAUAAAGGGGACUCUAGAGAUAGAGGCGCAGAAAAUAGGCCCAAGCGACUGUUUAACAAAAACAUAGGUUUCUGCUAAAGCGAAAGCUGAUGUAUAGGAGCUGACGCCUGCCCAGUGCUGGAAGGUUAAGAGGAGAUGUAAGUCGCAAGGCAAAGCAUUGAAUUGAAGCCCCAGUAAACGGCGGCCGUAACUAUAACGGUCCUAAGGUAGCGAAAUUCCUUGUCAGGUAAGUUCUGACCCGCACGAAAGGCGUAACGAUUUGGGCGCUGUCUCAACAAGAAACUCGGUGAAAUCAUAGUACCUGUGAAGAUGCAGGUUACCCGCGAUCAGACGGAAAGACCCCAUGGAGCUUCACUGCAGCUUAAUAUUGAUAUUGGGUGUGUGAUGUACAGGAUAGGUGGGAGACGAAGAAGCGAGUACGCUAGUAUUCGUGGAGUCAACGUUGGGAUACCACCCUUCAUACAUUUAGUAUCUAACUAGUAUCCAUAAUCUGGGUAUAGAACAGUGUUAGGUGGGCAGUUUGACUGGGGCGGUCGCCUCCCAAAGAGUAACGGAGGCGCCCAAAGGUUCCCUCAGAAUGGUUGGAAAUCAUUCAAAGAGUGCAAAGGCAGAAGGGAGCUUGACUGCGAGACGGACAGGUCGAGCAGGAACGAAAGUUGGGCUUAGUGAACCGGCUGUGCUGAAUGGAAAGGCAGUCGAUCAACGGACAAAAGCUACCCUGGGGAUAACAGGCUGAUCUCCCCCAAGAGUUCACAUCGACGGGGAGGUUUGGCACCUCGAUGUCGGCUCGUCGCAUCCUGGGGCUG